CUGUUUUUAUAAUACACUGUUCACUUUACCAAAAGACAUAAGUCGUAAGCAGAUGAUUUUUUCUAAACAGUAUGUUAUGUUGACAGAAUAAAUGGAUGUUAUAUGUGCACCAGUGCAAUAGUCGUGUUUUCAAUUUGAGCAUUUUUUUUUUCUAGUUCAAAAAGGUGUUUUUUAAGAAGUGUUGUUUUUUUUAUAUCUGUGACUGAUUUAUGGAUGUAAGAUAAAUUUAAACACAAAACGUUGUAAUCUUGAUCAAAGAUAUUUACUCAGGAUGUGUUUAACAGACUCUAAUAAUCAUUUUAAAUGAAGUAAAAAAGGUUUUGAUCCUAAUUAGCCAACUUUAUAUACAGAUGAUUUGUGGAGGAGUUAUUUAUUUUUCCGUUCAUAAAUUGGAGAAUUAAUUUUACAAUUAAACUACAAUUUGAAUCGUCUAGAAUUUUUUCUGUGGGAAUAUUUUUUAAAUUUUGCAUCACAAUGUGAAAUAUAAGAAUGACGUUUCCAAAAGUGGAUUGGGAUUAAUUUCAACUUUUCAAUCUUAAUUAAAGAAAUCUUGAGGUCCAUGCAGUGAAAUGGAAAUGUGGACAAGAAAUAGACAUCAAGAAUGACAUUUUGGAGGACCAUAAUCCAAUUUGUUGUUAUGACAACGGUGUAUGCCACUACAACAGAAGUUAACCCAUCAUUCCCAAAAGAGUUUGAUUUCCGCUUUACCAGUUAUGAAGAUUUACUUAAAGAUAAUGAUACAUUUAAGACAUUCCAACAUGCAGAUCUUGCAGGAUUUGUACAGCUGACAGUAGAUCUACCCAGAAACCAGCUCAUUGUUGGAUCAAGAGAUAUCUUGUUACGACUUGACCUAGAUGACCUUGAGACCUUGGAGAAAGCAGAAUGGAAGUCAAAUGAAGACAAUAAACAACUGUGUUUGUUUAAAGGACAGACAGAGGAAACUUGCCACAACUUUAUAAGAGUUGUUUUUGUUCAUGGAGACUCGUUGUUUACAUGUGGAACAUAUGCAUUUAAACCAAAAUGUAUCUGGAGAAGUGCAGAAAAUUUGACUGUGAUAGAGCAAGAUGAAUUCCAUGCAGUUGGAUAUUGUCCAUUUACACCAGACCACAAUUCAACAGCAGUCUUGACAAAGGAUAAAAUGUACUAUAGUGGCACAGUGUUAGAUAUACAAGGCAGAGAUAAAGCUAUUUAUAGACCAAUGGGUAGCAGACCUUUAAGGACCAAGCAAUAUAACUCUAAAUGGUUAAAUGAUCCAGAUUUUGUCUCAGCUUAUGAGGUAGAUGAUCACAUCUACUUUUUCUACAGGGAAGUUGCUGUUGAAUAUAUCAAUUGUGGAAAGAGAAUCUAUUCACGUGUGGCAAGAGUUUGUAAGAGUGAUGCAGGAGGAGAUUUAUUAUUUGAAGAUAAUUGGACCACAUUUGUUAAGGCCAGGAUGAAUUGCUCGAUACCAGGAAAAUAUCCAUUUUAUUUUGACCAAAUACAGAGUACAUAUUUUCUAGACUCAGGAACUGAAAAAUUUUUCUUUGCAAUUUUCACUACAUCAGAAAACAGUAUAUCAGGAUCAGCAGUGUGUAUUUACAACAUGACAGCAUUCUCAUCUGUAUUUAAUGGAGCUUACAAAUACCAGGAGAAUGUUAGAUCUGCCUGGAUGAGAGACACUAGUGAAAAACCUUUACAGUGUCCAGAUGAUAGUGGAACUGAUAAAAGAUCAUCUGAUGAUGGUGUUUUACGGAAGUCUUCACUGCAGAUAAUGCAAGCACAGAAAUACCAAUUGAUGGAUGAUGCAAUACAACCUCACACACUGGAUCCACUUGUAUAUGGUCAAAAUGAAAGGUGGACACAUAUAGUGGUUGACAGUGUAAAGGGCAAGGGUCAACAAUAUCAUGUGAUCUUCUUGGCUACUGUUGAUGGUUAUAUAAGGAAAAUGGCAUACUUACCUCAGCUUAACUCAUCCUGUCUCAUAGAAGAACAUAAGAUUGUACCGAAUGGAGAUUAUAAACCUGUCAAAAAUCUGAGGAUAUCAGAAGAUAAGGGUGCAGUGUAUGUAACAGUGACAGGGAAAAUCAUAAAGAUACCAGUACAAAGGUGUGACAGAUUUACUGAUCAAGAUCUGUGUAAAAAUUCCAUGGAUCCAUACUGUGGUUGGAACAAGGCUUCCAGUAAAUGUACAACUGCUCCAGAUAAUGAUCCCUCCAUACACUACUGGAUGCAAGACAUCAUAUCCUGUCCAAUAGUGGAACAUCCUAUUGAUGGGAUGUGGUCAGAAUGGUCAGAAUGGGAAACCUGCCAGCAGACAGUUCCAGAUCCUUCAGCAGGGGAUUGCCUUUGUAGAACAAGAUCAUGUGACAAUCCUAAACCUGCUUUUGGUGGAAAGUCCUGUGCAGGAUCAGUUGUUGAGGUCACCAAUUGUACAGCACAUGGCCAGUGGACAGCUUGGACUGCUUGGUCUAAGUGUUCUAUAACCUGUGGGCACAAUGGAACAAGAUCUCGAAACCGUUACUGUAGUAAUCCUCCACCAAGAUAUAUGGGCAGAGAUUGUAUAGGGUCUGACAGAGAUGAGGGUUAUUGUCCAGGUAACCCUAGCUGUCCAGAACCACCUGUCGAUGGUAAAUGGACAGUUUGGUCACCAUGGGGUGACUGUACCGCUGAUUGUAAUGGUGGAAUACAAACACGGAUACGUCGGUGUAGUCAACCACCGCCAUCCCCAAAGGGAAGACCAUGUGAGGGAAAUACUCAAGAAUGGAGGAUGUGCAAUACUCUUCAUUGUCAAGAAUUAGAAAAAUAUGCACCAUGGACCAAAUGGAUCAAAACAAAUUCAACUUCCAGUGGACAUUUUGAACAGAGAUUCCGUUAUAUGUGCAAAGCAAAUGUUCCUGAUGUCAGUAUGAUAAAAACAAGCUAUGUGAAAACACAUACAAGGUUUUGUUUUAAAAAUGAUGGGACGUGUCAUAAAGCAGAAAUAGCAAGGAACAUAACAAAGGAUGGUGGAUGGUCGUCUUGGCAACCAUGGUCUGACUGUUCUAAAGAUUGUGGAGGAGGAACUCAACAUAGGAAGAGAUCAUGUGAUAAUCCACAGCCAAUGGGUUUAGGAAAAGACUGUUCAGGUCAUUACAUAGAAGCUAGGCAGUGUAACAUACAUUCUUGCCAAGGUUUAUGGGGAUGUUGGUCAGAAUAUUCCGUAUGUUCAGCUACAUGUGGACAUGGAAGUCAUGUCAGAGUGAGACGAUGUGACAGUUCUGUUCAAGGAACUAAAUUUCUUUUUCCUUGCAAAGGACAUGACACUGAUUACAAACCAUGCACAACUCCCCUAUGUAAUGCAUCAGCUGGUUGGAAUCACUGGUCUGAUUGGACUGUGUGUGGAGUAGAAGAUUUACAGUAUCGACACAGACAGUGUCAACUUGAGCAUCCAUCAGAUGAGGAAUGUCAAGGUCAUAGAAUAGAGAAUAGAGGAUGCGAAUAUAUACCAUUCAGAAUUGGUGUAGCACCUAUUAAAGAACGAGAAGAGACAGAGAAAACUUACUCUUUGUUAAACCUGAUUGUUGUUGCAUCAGGGUCUUUUAUUUUUGGCAUAAUGUUGACUAUUGGGUUGUAUUUAUGUGUUAAAAGUUGUCGCAGCUUCAGAAAAUUUGAUUUAGAAAAAGAACGAAAGAAAAAUGAACAACUUAAUAAUGGAAAAAGGAAAUGUGGAUCAGUGUCAUCACAACUAAGUUUAGAUUUUUUGACAGUUAAUAACAAAGUGUUUCAUGUUAGUUCUUUACAGAUCUCAAAACAAGAUAAAUUUGUAUCGAGUAAGAAUUCAUUAAACUCUUUAAAAAGAAAGGAAGCAAUGCAGACAGAUUUGCAGUCAAAUGACGGGUAACAUUAACAAUCAUUGAUCAUGUGAUUCUCAUUACCACAUCUUACCACAUUUCUUUUAUCAUCUUCAAUAUUUAGGAACUAUACCUAGCCAAUAGUACUGAAAGUGAUGUUAAACACCAACAAUCAAUCAAUCAACUCAACAAUAUCAGUAGGAUUGUUGAUAUGAGUAGAAUGGUAGAUUUAAGAAUAAAUGUAAAUUGGUGUUUCUGACAGUGUUGUGAUCUAUAAAUGGAAAGACUUUCAUUUGAACCGCCCUGGUUGACAGAAAUAAGCAAAAUACACAGGUAAGAGUGGUUCAAAUGAAAGUCUUGCCCUAUCAAAGGUGAUUUCAACCAUAUGAGUUUUUUUCUUCUAAUUUUGUAAGUUUGUCUUGGACCAGAUUAUAGAUGUGAUUUGUCAUUGAUAUUGAACAAUUAUGUAUAUAAGAACAAUUUAUUUAUGAUUUUAGUUAUUUUUUAUUAUUGUGUAUAUUAUUUUUUAAUUUAUAAGAUUUACUGUACUGUUAUCUAAAAGUCUUUGGUCAUCAUUUAGUGUAUCCCAUGAAAAGAUUUAAAUACUCACACAAUACACAACACAUGUACUACUCUUAAAAAUCAGAAUCAUACCCAGACCAACAACAUGAAUAUCAGGAAACAUCUAUUUCAAAGGUAUUUUGAAUUAUUUAAUGUAAAGGUGGUAUAUUAUUCAGCCUUACACUUUGCUUCAGAUAAGAUUACUUACAACACUAUAAACAAUACAAAACACUUAUAAACAAUUCUACAAAGAGAACUUCUAGUCAUUUAUUAAACAGCCAGUUAUGAAAGAUAAAGAAUUUGUCAGUUAUACUCCAGCAGUUAUAAUUGAUUCAUCUCAGCCAACCAAGACUAUUACAUUUAUGUUGUAAAUAGUAUUCUGUUUCAUCAGAAGUUUUAAGUAAUGGAUUUUUGCUUUCAUAUAAAAUUAUCAUUAGAACUAAAAGUGUGAUUGAAACAAUAUUUGCUAAUUUUUCUGCUUACUUUUUUGACACAUGAAGAUAUUCAAAAAUAUUUCAAAAUGAAUAUUCUGUUUUAUUCAAUUUUUUAUAUGAAUUAUCACAACAGCUUGCUAGAUGUAUUAAAACUCUUGAAAAAAAAAGUUCUUAUAUAUAUAUAUAUGUAUCAUAAGUUGUGAAUAGUUUCAUAUUUCUAUUUAAAUAAACAAUGCAGAUUUGA
This is an RNA transcript of Mytilus californianus (California mussel), 5048 nucleotides long. It is a transcript of the gene named semaphorin-5A-like, with no coding region annotated. The record is from RefSeq and is a predicted model, not a curated record. NCBI's taxonomy places the organism in Eukaryota, Metazoa, Mollusca, Bivalvia, Mytilida, Mytilidae. The transcript is spliced from 22 exons.